UAGGGAAUAUUGGACAAUGGGGGCAACCCUGAUCCAGCCAUGCCGCGUGAGUGAAGAAGGCCCUCGGGUUGUAAAGCUCUUUUGUCCGGAAAGAAAAGCAUUCGGUGAAUACCCGGAUGUUCUGAAGGUACCGGAAGAAUAAGCACCGGCUAACUUCGUGCCAGCAGCAGCGGUAAUACGAAGGGUGCAAGCGUUACUCGGAAUUACUGGGCGUAAAGCGUGCGUAGGUGGUUGUUUAAGUCUGAUGUGAAAGCCCUGGGCUCAACCUGGGAAUGGCAUUUGAAACUGGGCAGCUAGAGUGCGGUAGAGGGUAGUGGAAUUCCCGGUGUAGCAGUGAAAUGCGUAGAGAUCGGGAGGAACAUCUGUGGCGAAGGCGACUGCCUGGACCAGCACUGACACUGAGGCACGAAAGCGUGGGGAGCAAACA
RNAcentral lists this ribosomal RNA (427 nucleotides) under uncultured bacterium. RNAcentral describes it as "bacterial SSU rRNA". It matches the Rfam family "Bacterial small subunit ribosomal RNA", at positions 355 to 774 of the family's 1533-position model. The record is from RNAcentral.